CUGAACCUUCGGGGGACGAUAACGGCGUCGAGCGGCGGACGGGUGAGUAAUGCCUGGGAAAUUGCCCUGAUGUGGGGGAUAACCAUUGGAAACGAUGGCUAAUACCGCAUAAUAGCUUCGGCUCAAAGAGGGGGACCUUCGGGCCUCUCGCGUCAGGAUAUGCCCAGGUGGGAUUAGCUAGUUGGUGAGGUAAAGGCUCACCAAGGCAACGAUCCCUAGCUGGUCUGAGAGGAUGAUCAGCCACACUGGAACUGAGACACGGUCCAGACUCCUACGGGAGGCAGCAGUGGGGAAUAUUGCACAAUGGGCGCAAGCCUGAUGCAGCCAUGCCGCGUGUAUGAAGAAGGCCUUCGGGUUGUAAAGUACUUUCAGCAGUGAGGAAGGCGGAUGCGUUAAUAGCGUAUUCGUUUGACGUUAGCUGCAGAAGAAGCACCGGCUAACUCCGUGCCAGCAGCCGCGGUAAUACGGAGGGUGCGAGCGUUAAUCGGAAUUACUGGGCGUAAAGCGCAUGCAGGUGGUGUGUUAAGUCAGAUGUGAAAGCCCGGGGCUCAACCUCGGAAUAGCAUUUGAAACUGGCACACUAGAGUACUGUAGAGGGGGGUAGAAUUUCAGGUGUAGCGGUGAAAUGCGUAGAGAUCUGAAGGAAUACCAGUGGCGAAGGCGGCCCCCUGGACAGAUACUGACACUCAGAUGCGAAAGCGUGGGGAGCAAACAGGAUUA
RNAcentral lists this ribosomal RNA (720 nucleotides) under gamma proteobacterium PM21. RNAcentral describes it as "bacterial SSU rRNA". It matches the Rfam family "Bacterial small subunit ribosomal RNA", at positions 67 to 780 of the family's 1533-position model. Lineage: Bacteria; Pseudomonadati; Pseudomonadota; Gammaproteobacteria. The record is from RNAcentral.